This 72-nucleotide transfer RNA is filed under the name Endomicrobium sp. RNAcentral describes it as "tRNA-Arg". It matches the Rfam family "tRNA". Rfam says of the family: Transfer RNA (tRNA) molecules are approximately 80 nucleotides in length. Their secondary structure includes four short double-helical elements and three loops (D, anti-codon, and T loops). RNAcentral also lists the same sequence under 1 other name. Lineage: Bacteria; Pseudomonadati; Elusimicrobiota; Endomicrobiia; Endomicrobiales; Endomicrobiaceae. The record is from RNAcentral.
GCGCCCGUAGCUUAACGGAUAGAGCGCCGGCCUCCGGAGCCGGCAAUUCCGGUUCAAAUCCGGACGGGCGCG